CUGAAUAAUAAUGACUUUCUUUUAUUUCCAAUUCUACCAAAGAGGACAGAAGAAGCAGCCCAAAGUAAAAGACUUGAAGAAAUAUAGGCAAUGUAAGUAGGAUUAAGUGAUUUUGCUGUUUGUGGCGUUUCCUCGAAGUAGCUGGUUACCUCCAAAUGGGACGACAGUCAUGGAUGUUGAGAUGGCCUACGUCGCAGACUCGCGAGGACGGGCGGCUGGAUGUUCGCUAGCGACCUACGACAGCUACAGGCUUUCUGCCUAUGCCUGUAGAAGGGGACUUUGAGAUGUCAUGCUGAAGUUUUCUGGAGAUUAUCUGGUUUCAUUUUUGGGAAGCAGUCCACAUGGAAAAAUGAUGCAGCCAAACUAAAGAUAUGCUCGAUUGGUUCUUUCUAAUGUCCCUGUUAUUAAGAAGCAGGAAAAAUUGAAGAAUAAGAGAGGGAAAAUGUCAAAUUUACUUGGUCUACAACAAAGAAACCCUUUUAUUUGAUUGCUGUUCAUCAUAUACAAGUUCACAGACAAGUCCUUUAACAAUGAGAAAAUGUUUAAACAAAAUUGUGCUUAAAAAUGUUUUGAUUUAUGUACAUUAAUCUGAAUAAUAAUGACUUUCUUUAUUUCCAAUUCUACCAAAGAGGACAGAAGAAGCAGCCCAAAGUGAAAGACUUGAAGAAAUAUAGGCAAUGUAAGUAGGAUUAAGUGAUUUUGCUGUUUGUGGCGUUUCCUCGAAGUAGCUGGUUACCUCCAAAUGGGACGACAGUCAUGGAUGUUGAGAUGGCCUACGUCGCAGACUCGCGAGGACGGGCGGCUGGGAUGUUCGCUAGCGACCUACGACAGCUACAGGCUUCCUGCCUAUGCCUGUAAAAGGGGACUUUGAGAUGUCAUGCUGAAGUUUUCUGGAGAUUAUCUGGUUUCAUUUUUGGGAAGCAGUCCACAUGGAAAAAUGAUGCAGCCAAACUAAAGAUAUGCUCAAUUGGUUCUUUCUAAUGUUCCUGUUAUUAAGAAGCAGGAAAAAUUGAAGAAUAAGAGAGGGAAAAUGUCAAAUUUACUUGGUCUACAACAAAGAAACCCUGAUUGCUGUUGAUCAUAUACAAGUUCACAGACAAGUCCUUCAACAAUGAGAAAAUGUUUUAAAAAAAUUGUGCUUAAAAAUGUUUUGAUUUGUGUACAUUAAUCUGAAUAAUAAUGACUUUCUUUUGUUUCCAAUUCUACCAAGGAAAAUAGCCAUACAAUUUUUAUAGAUUUAUAGAUAUAGAAAUGAAAAUGUACAUAAGACAUCAAACAAUAUAUUUAUUUGAAUUUGUUUCAUUCAUAUCUCCAAACACGAGUUGAUUAUAUAGGGAAUCACUGAAGCAUGAAGUGCCCCCCCUUUUUUUAUGUCAGUCAGAGGGGCCCCUUAUAAAAAGUGCUGGAUCUGCCACUGAUUAAACAUGUUUGUGAGUGCUCAACCAACAAUGGACUAACCUGUUACAAUAAGAAUAAACUGAAAAAUAUGGUUCUAUUGGCUUUACUCCAUAGAUUGGUACGAGGCACAUAAAUCACAACGAACAUAGAAAGUAGACACAAAGAAAUAAAUCAUGUUUUUAUGCCCCAUUCAUGGGCAUUAUGUUUUCUGGUAUGUCUGUCCGUUAUUUCGUUCGUACGUCUGUCCGUCCCGCUUCAGGUUAAAGUGUUUGGUCGAGGUAGUUUUUGAUGAACUUGAAGUCCAAUCAACUUGAAACUAAGUACUCAUGUUCCCUAUAUGAUAUUUCUAAUUUUAAUGUUUAAUGAGAGAUUUUCUUCCCUUUUCACGGUCCACUGAAUAUAGAAAAUGAUAGUGCAAAUGGGUGGGGCAUCCGUGUAGUGUUGACACAUUCUUGUUUUAACUGAAGUAUCAUUAAUAUUCACAGACUAAUUGAGUUUCGUGGGGUGGAACCAGGGUUUUCACAUGAAGCUCGAUUUUUAAGCAAGACAAAAUUUUGUUUUUUUACAUCAUUCAUAUCCUAUUUGCCAAAAAUAAAUCCAGAAUAUUUUUUUGUAACUGAAUAUAUAAGUCAGAUUAUUUGUUUAAACAUUACAGAUUAGCUUUGGGCUUGUCCUUAAGGAUUGAGACUGAAAAUGGCAAUUGGAUCAGACUUUUAAAGUAAGUUUUAAUCAUUACAUAGAUUUUUUAAUUUCUGAACUCAAUUCAUGUGUAAAAUGGGAGUUUGCGUGGGGUAUAAUAUUUUUGACCUGUCUGUCCUGUUCGUCAGCCUGGUUCUUGUCAUUGCAACUCCUCUAAAACCACAAUUUCAUAAAACAAGGUAGUAUGUACACAAUACUAUGUAGUUGUGCAUAUAAAGAAGAAAUUAUGAGUCAAUUUUUUUUUCUAGGGGUUACGUUAUGCCCCUCUGAACUUAAAUUAAGGCCUAUACUGCUGUAACAGUUGCACUACAAGUCCUUUGAAACUGCACAACAGAAUUUCAUGGAUCUUUAAAGUUAAUGAGGACAGUAUGGCAUAUCCACAAGAAAUGUUUAUCAGUUGACUUUUUUCUAUCAAUACAAGCACAACAGAUUUCUUUAACAAGUAUAUCUAUAGUGCUUGGAUUGACCUGUAAAAGGAAUAUUUCAUACAAGUAUACUGCUUUUAUUAUUUGUUUAUAGGCUGAUGUAAGGACUGGUUCCAUGGUGUUGAAAGUAAGAAUUGACGAUCUGAUACUGCAAACAUAUUGGUAGAUAUACCUAAAUUUUUAUCCCCCACAUAACACCAUAAUAUCUCGGACAAGUUCUAUAAUGGUGAACGAUCAACUUUUUUUAAUAUAAUUAUGGCCUAUGGAAAUAUUAAAUAAGUGCAACGAGUGGGACAUUGGAACUAUAUUCUUUUAUUUUAAUCUAAAAGUGUUUGGAUGUCAAUUAAAUAACGAUUCGGGUAUCGUAAAGAUUGCAUUACAUGGAGAUAUUCAGCUCCAGAGGUAAGAGGGUACAUAAUUGUCCAAGAUAGUAGAGAUACUGUCAACGUUUGAAACAGAAAUUGUUUUGGGGAUAUCAUUGCUUUCUAGCAAUCUGUAGACUUAUACCAUUGGCUCAGGGCCAUGCCCUCACGUCAACCAUUUUAUUCUAAACAUUAAGGAACAUCUCAGAUUCUUAUGAUUGUCUUGCUUGAAAAGGUAAAAAAAACCAAAGGGGUGGAACUUAAACAACUUUCCUAUAAUGUUCUUUUCAUAAUCUUCAUGUUUGAUAUUUCCCUCGACUUAUAUGCAUGUUUUUAACAACACGGAAAGUCAGAAUUGAGCAGUAUUUAUAUUUAGUGUUUUUAUAAAUUUAGAAACACGUCAGAAGGAAUUCCCCAGUUUUGAUAAAAAUGCAAGAGUUCUCUGAAUUCCUGAAAAAUUCUAUUUCUGUCAUAAAAACUGAUGUGGAGUUUUUCUUAUAUGUCACCGUUAUGAAACUGAUAUUUGAUAUUGUACUUCCAUAAAGAAAUAGAGAACCUUUAACAUUUAAUAUACGUUCUUGCUUCAGGGUUUGUUUAGGUAAUUAUGUGCAUGUGUAUAGUUUUCUCGACUUCAAGGGAUAUUAGAUUGAAUGGUUGCUCUGGAUUCCCCACUCAACCUGUGAACAGUAUAUCCAAGGAUUUGUAUAGUAAGAUCCUUGGUAUAUAUAUCUAAAUAAUAUAUAUGUUCCUGACUCAACUGAUUCUAAAACAAUACAACACAUCGAGAAAAAUUAACUUGUUCUAUCGAUAAACGUCGUAUUAUAUUAAAAACCAUCGCAAUUUAAACCAUGGAAUGUGUACAGAAAUAAGUCAUGACCAUUGACCCAAAGGAAAUUAAAUAUUUAAAGAGUUAGGAAUGGGGUUCCUCCUAGAAUUAACGUAGGAAAAAUUAUAGGUGAUAAGAUACCAAGUGAAAUACGUUCUCUCACUCUGAGUCUCAGUGACUGCUGUGGAAAGUAAACUUGGAAGUGAUAGUACAAAAAUAAAACACAACAAGUACAUUGUUCGAACUGUUACACUUGUAUCUGGGAUUAGUUAUUUUGUAACUAUUCAGAUUACGUAAAUUAUAUUUUACAUGUGCAGUUGAAUUAGUUUUAAAAAUAAUAAUAUCCAGCUACAUGCAUGUAUACAUGUAUCAAUGAAAACAAUGGCAAUCGUAUCCCUCAGAGCAAUCUGCUCUUUGAUUGACUUUUUUUAAUUUAUCUAGAUUUAAACUAAAUAUCCACUGGAUUUCUUGAGUAGGAGUUAUGAAACAAAGUACCAAUCAAUCAACCAACUUUCUAUCAUUUAAUAUCCACAGAAAUCCAUGUUUUCCUUAAUCACAAUGUAAAUCAUUUAAUCCACUGUCGAUUUUUGAAGAGUUUACAGCUAAUUUCCUAAUGCUUGUAGAGUAAAACGUUGGUUGGCUUGCUUGCUUUGUUUGUAUAAUUGUUUAUUCAAGCUUUGUAAUUAAGAUUGACAUCUCCAAACAAUAUAUAUGACAUAGUUAAACCUGUAUAUAUCAUAUUUAAAUUCAAUUGGACAUUUUCCCAAUAUAAUUGUACAAUAUACAAACAAAGCAAGCAAACUAACCAAAGUCUUCAUCUGCAUGCAUUAGGAAAUUAGCUGUAUAUAACUGAUUCAACUUUGUAUUACAGGUAAGCAUCACAGCUUGUCCUGUUGGAUACUGGCCGGAGUAGAAUUUGGAUCUUUUUGA
Molecule: long non-coding RNA, 4640 nt
Filed under: Mytilus galloprovincialis (Mediterranean mussel)
Lineage: Eukaryota; Metazoa; Mollusca; Bivalvia; Mytilida; Mytilidae
Source: RNAcentral